Long non-coding RNA from Spea bombifrons (plains spadefoot toad), 556 nucleotides. RefSeq lists it as uncharacterized. Lineage: Eukaryota; Metazoa; Chordata; Amphibia; Anura; Pelobatidae. The record is from RefSeq and is a predicted model, not a curated record. The transcript is spliced from 2 exons.
GUGUUAUUUGCUUUACUAGCCUAAUUAUUCAACUUAAACCCUUCUUAUGUGUGUCUUUCUUGCAUAUGUAUGUAUAUAUGUAUACUGUCACCUACAUGGGUUGCACGUCCAAUCAACAUGUAUGUAAAUGAAAAACAGAACUCAGUUAUUGAUUUUAAUAUGAAAAAGAAUUUUUUGUUAUAAUUCAUAAGCAAACAAAAAGCAUACGCUCCAUGUGCUGCUUCUGUCGCUGUUCAAACAUUCUAGAAUAAUGUGAUAAGGCAAUAAUAAACCCCAAGGAUACUUACCAUGAGUUCACAUAAGUUCACCUUUCCUAACUACACCCAGGAUCCCUCUAUAGGUGCACUAAUGAUUAAAGAUUAUAAAUAAUGUACGUUUAUAACUUAAUAAUGCAUACAGAGUUUCCAACAGGUUUUAUUGUGCUGAAUAUAUGAAUUGUAAGAUAUGGAAAAUGAUCUUUUAAAAACAUGUAUAUUCUUCUUUUAGACCCUUGACAUAAUGAAUGUGUGUGUAUAUACCCUAAACAUAAAUAAUAAAAGCCUGUGUACAUAAUGCA